This 253-nucleotide ribosomal RNA is filed under the name uncultured bacterium. Its description in RNAcentral is "partial 16S ribosomal RNA". It matches the Rfam family "Bacterial small subunit ribosomal RNA", at positions 524 to 776 of the family's 1533-position model. The record is from RNAcentral.
UACGGAGGAUGCAAGCGUUAUCCGGAAUGAUUGGGCGUAAAGCGUCCGCAGGUGGCAAUGUAAGUCUGCUGUUAAAGAGUCUAGCUCAACUAGAUAAAAGCAGUGGAAACUACAUAGCUAGAGUACGUUCGGGGCAGAGGGAAUUCCUGGUGUAGCGGUGAAAUGCGUAGAGAUCAGGAAGAACACCAGUGGCGAAGGCGCUCUCCUGGGCCAUAACUGACACUGAUGGACGAAAGCUAGGGGAGCGAAAGGG